GCCGGGUGCGGGUGGGCGCGUGCCUGUUAAUCCAAGUUACUUUGGAGGUUGAGACUGGUGGAUCGUUGAGCUUCAGGAUCUCUGAGCUGUCAGUGGGACUAUGCUUGAGUCGGUGUCCCAAUAAGUUCGGUAUCGAUAUGGUGCUCCUGGGUGAGGCCGGGACACCAGCGUCGUCUAAGGAGGGAUGCACCGGCCCAGGUCGGAAAACGGGAGCAGGCCCAAAAGCCCCCGUGCCGCUCAGUAGUGGGAUCGCGCCUGUGAAUAGAGGCUGUAGUGAAGCCUCUGAGUAAUACAGCGGGACCCAGUCUUUU
RNAcentral lists this signal recognition particle RNA (311 nucleotides) under Neogobius melanostomus (round goby). RNAcentral's name for it is "Metazoan signal recognition particle RNA (ENSNMLG00000001214.1)". It matches the Rfam family "Metazoan signal recognition particle RNA". From Rfam's summary of the family: The signal recognition particle (SRP) is a universally conserved ribonucleoprotein. It is involved in the co-translational targeting of proteins to membranes. The eukaryotic SRP consists of a 300-nucleotide 7S RNA and six proteins: SRPs 72, 68, 54, 19, 14, and 9. The record is from Rfam by way of RNAcentral. Lineage: Eukaryota; Metazoa; Chordata; Actinopteri; Gobiiformes; Gobiidae.